CCGAUACUGUCUAAUUUCACCCUAAUUCACCCUAAUGCCUACCUAAUCCAUGGCCUCUCAUGGUAAUUGGAGACGUGUAUCAGCCUCUUAUGGCUCCUGGGUGUUUGUUUAUGUGGUUUCAUGGUCAGAACUCGAAGAAAUCCGGUCCAGUCGUUGUUUAACUUCUAUUCGUGGCCUUUAUCCGGCCACCCAUGACCUUUCUUUGGCCAUUCCUGGCCUUUCAAGGCCGAUCUUUGACUUUUUCUGGUUGGAAGGUUAACUUUCAAAGUUUCUCUCCCUUUUUUUGGGUUUUCUGAAACCCUAGCUCUAAGAUAUUUUAUUUUUCUUUCAGAUCUCUCUUAGAUCUUUACCUACUAUGAAUUUCUU
Molecule: long non-coding RNA, 366 nt
Filed under: Nicotiana benthamiana
Lineage: Eukaryota; Viridiplantae; Streptophyta; Magnoliopsida; Solanales; Solanaceae
Description: long non-coding RNA (NBEN_LNC020213)
Source: RNAcentral